This 295-nucleotide unclassified non-coding RNA is filed under the name Hevea brasiliensis (rubber tree). The record is from RNAcentral. Lineage: Eukaryota; Viridiplantae; Streptophyta; Magnoliopsida; Malpighiales; Euphorbiaceae.
GCACUGGCCGACUCUAGCCAGGAUCCAUCUUGUUCUGUAUCUGUUGUUUCACUGCUUGAAGAUGCUUUGAAGUGCCCUUCAGACAGACUGCGAAAAGGCCAGGCACUUAACAAUCUUGGAAGUGUAUAUGUAGACAGCGGGAAAUUAGAUUUGGCAGCUGAUUGCUACAUAAAUGCCCUUAAAAUCAGGCACACUAGAGCUCACCAGGGUCUUGCACGAGUCCAUUUUCUCAGAAAUGACAAGGCUGCUGCAUAUGAGGAAAUGACAAAACUGAUUGAGAAGGCCCGGAAUAAUG